Molecule: ribosomal RNA, 497 nt
Filed under: uncultured bacterium
Lineage: Bacteria
Description: partial 16S ribosomal RNA
Rfam family: Bacterial small subunit ribosomal RNA
Source: RNAcentral
GAUGAACGCUGGCGGCGUGCCUAAUACAUGCAAGUCGAGCGAACGGACGAGAAGCUUGCCUCUCUGAUGUUAGCGGCGGACGGGUGAGUAACACGUGGAUAACCUACCUAUAAGACUGGGAUAACUUCGGGAAACCGGAGCUAAUACCGGAUAAUAUUUUGAACCGCAUGGUUCAAGAGUGAAAGACGGUCUUGCUGUCACUUAUAGAUGGAUCCGCGCUGCAUUAGCUAGUUGGUAAGGUAACGGCUUACCAAGGCAACGAUGCAUAGCCGACCUGAGAGGGUGAUCGGCCACACUGGAACUGAGACACGGUCCAGACUCCUACGGGAGGCAGCAGUAGGGAAUCUUCCGCAAUGGGCGAAAGCCUGACGGAGCAACGCCGCGUGAGUGAUGAAGGUCUUCGGAUCGUAAAACUCUGUUAUUAGGGAAGAACAUAUGUGUAAGUAACUGUGCACAUCUUGACGGUACCUAAUCAGAAAGCCACGGCUAACUACGUG